RNAcentral lists this ribosomal RNA (775 nucleotides) under uncultured Neocallimastigales. RNAcentral describes it as "partial large subunit ribosomal RNA". It matches the Rfam family "Eukaryotic large subunit ribosomal RNA", at positions 24 to 631 of the family's 3401-position model. Lineage: Eukaryota; Fungi; Neocallimastigomycota; Neocallimastigomycetes; Neocallimastigales. The record is from RNAcentral.
UAUGUGAUCGUCUCUCGCAUAUCAAUAAGCGGAGGAAAAGAAACUAACAAGGAUUCCCCUAGUAACGGCGAGUGAAGCGGGAAGAGCUCAAAUUUGAAAUCUUAAAGGGUUUCCCUUUACGAAUUGUAGUUUAAAGAAGUGUUUUCUGUUGAGGUUUUGGUAAAAGUUCUUUGGAAUAGGACAUCAUAGAGGGUGAGAAUCCCGUAUUUGACCUUUACUUUCAACUUUGUGAUACACUUUCAAAGAGUCGGAUUGUUUGGGAAUGCAGUCCAAAAUGGGUGGUAAACUUCAUCUAAAGCUAAAUAUUGGCGAGAGACCGAUAGCGAACAAGUACCGUGAGGGAAAGAUGAAAAGAACUUUGAAAAGAGAGUUAAGCAGUGACGUGAAAUUGUCAAAAGGGAAGCGUUUGACACCAGUGUUGUUUUUCUGAAAAUCAAUUAAAGAACUGUUUAUGCUAAGUUGUUUAGACCUUAUCAGCUAUCUGCUUAGUUUUGAGCUUUUCUUUAAUGCACUUUUCAGUUAACAAGUCAACAUCAAUUUCUUUUGCUGUAAAAAAGCUUGAGGAAGGUGGCUUGAGAUUCGUCUUAAGUGUUUAUAGCCUCUUGCCUAUGCAGUCGGAGAGAUUGAGGUCUGCAGCGUAGAUCCUUCGGGGCUGAAUGCAUUUGUGCUAAGUUAUAGCAUUUUAUAGACAACUUGUUGACUAUGAUUUGUCUUGUAGCUUACUCGCUUAUGUUAUUUUACCUACGCUUAGGAUGUUGAUCUACAGAGCGAGAGU